GGUUAAAAGAACCCCGGAAGGGGAGUGAAAUAGAUCCUGAAACCGUAUGCAUACAAAAAGUAGGAGCCCUUCGGGGUGACUGCGUACCUUUUGUAUAAUGGGUCAGCGACUUACAUUCAGUAGCAAGCUUAACCGAUAGGGGAGGCGUAGCGAAAGCGAGUCCGAAUAGGGCGAUUUAGUUACUGGGUGUAGACCCGAAACCAAGUGAUCUAUCCAUGGCCAGGAUGAAGGUGCCGUAACAGGUACUGGAGGUCCGAACCCACAAAUGUUGAAAAAUUUGGGGAUGAGCUGUGGAUAGGGGUGAAAGGCCAAACAAACCCGGAGAUAGCUGGUUCUCUCCGAAAUCUAUUUAGGUAGAGCGUCGCGUAUUACUUCUGGGGGUAGAGCACUGUUAUGGCUAGCGGGUCGUCAAGGCUUAGUAAACCAUUGCAAACUCCGAAUACCAGAAAGUAUGAGCGCGGCAGACACACUGCGGGUGCUAACGUCCGUAGUGGAAAGGGAAACAACCCAGACCGUCAGCUAAGGUCCCAAAAUUAUAGUUAAGUGGGAAACGAUGUGAAAAGGCCCAGACAGCCAGGAGGUUGGCUUAGAAGCAGCCAUUCCUUUAAAGAGUGCGUAAUAGCUCACUGGUCGAGUCGGUUUGCGCGGAAGAUUUAACGGGGCUAAACUAUAUACCGAAGCUGCGGAUCGCAAUUUAUUGCGAUGGUAGGAGAGCGUUCUGUAAGCCGUUGAAGGUGAACUGUGAGGUUUGCUGGAGGUAUCAGAAGUGCGAAUGCUGACAUGAGUAACGAUAAAGGGGGUGAAAAACCCCCUCGCCAGAAGUCCAAGGUUUCCUACGCAACGUUAAUCGGCGUAGGGUUAGUCGGCCCCUAAGGCGAGGCAGAAAUGCGUAGUCGAUGGGAAACGGGUUAAUAUUCCCGUACUUCAUAUAACUGCGAUGGGAAGACGGAGUAGGUUAGCUCAGCAAGGCGAUGGUUGUCCUUGUUCAAGCGUGUAGAAAUGGUUCUUAGGAAAAUCCGGGAACCUCUAUUUCAAGGCGUGAUAACGAGCCCUCUUUUGGGCGAAGUGAGUGAGACCAUGCUUCCAGGAAAAUCCUCUAAGCUUCAGGUUAUAUGAAACCGUACCCCAAACCGACACAGGUGGACGAGAUGAGAAUUCUAAGGCGCUUGAGAGAACUCUGGUGAAGGAACUAGGCAAAAUGACACCGUAACUUCGGGAGAAGGUGUGCUCUUGUUAUGUGAUAUCACUUGCUGAUUGAGCAAAGAAGAGCUGAAAAAACUAGGUGGCUGCGACUGUUUAUUAAAAACACAGCACUCUGCAAACACGUAAGUGGACGUAUAGGGUGUGACUCCUGCCCGGUGCUUGAAGGUUAAUUGAUGAGGUUAGCGCUUGCACGAAGCUUUUGAUCGAAGCCCAAGUAAACGGCGGCCGUAACUAUAACGGUCCUAAGGUAGCGAAAUUCCUUGUCGGGUAAGUUCCGACCUGCACGAAUGGCGUAACGACGGCCACACUGUCUCCACCCGAGACUCAGUGAAAUUGAAAUCGCUGUUAAGAUGCAGUGUAUCCGCGGCUAGACGGAAAGACCCCGUGAACCUUUACUAUAGCUUCACACUGGACUUUGACCUGAUCUGUGUAGGAUAGGUGGGAGACUUUGAAGCGUUAUCGCUAGAUAGCGU
RNAcentral lists this ribosomal RNA (1676 nucleotides) under marine metagenome. RNAcentral describes it as "bacterial LSU rRNA". It matches the Rfam family "Bacterial large subunit ribosomal RNA", at positions 513 to 2181 of the family's 2925-position model. The record is from RNAcentral.